GAUGAACGCUAGCGGGAGGCCUAACACAUGCAAGCCGAGCGGUAUUGUUUCUUCGGUACUGCGAGAGCGGCGUACGGGUGCGUAACACGUGUGCAACCUGCCUUUAUCUGGGGGAUAGCCUUUCGAAAGGAAGAUCAAUACUCCAUAAUAUAUUUAACGUCAUCGUUUAAUAUUGAAAGCUCCGGCGGAUAUAGAUGGGCACGCGCAAGGUUAGCUAGUUGGUGAGGUAACGGCGCACCAAGGCGAUGAUCUUGAGGGGACCUGAGUGGGUGAUCCCCCACACUGGUACUGAGACACGGACCAGACUCCGACGGGAGGGAGCAGUGAGGACUACUGGUCAAUGGGUGCAAGCCUGAACCAGCCACCCCGCGUGAAGGACGACUGCCCUAUGGGUUGUAAACUUCUUUUGUAGAGGGAUAAACCUACCCUCGAGAGGGUAGCUGAAGGUACUAUACGAAUAAGCACCGGCUAACUCCGUG
Molecule: ribosomal RNA, 479 nt
Filed under: uncultured bacterium
Lineage: Bacteria
Description: partial 16S ribosomal RNA
Rfam family: Bacterial small subunit ribosomal RNA
Source: RNAcentral